Long non-coding RNA from Alosa sapidissima (American shad), 376 nucleotides. RefSeq lists it as uncharacterized. NCBI's taxonomy places the organism in Eukaryota, Metazoa, Chordata, Actinopteri, Clupeiformes, Clupeidae. The transcript has 3 exons. The record is from RefSeq and is a predicted model, not a curated record.
CCUGAUCUGAAAGAGGUGAUUCUGUAUGUGAGCUGCCUGACUGAGAUCUGGGCCACCAGGAUCCUCAAACUCAUCCACAUCUGCCCCAGUUUAAAGAACGUAAAGUUUGGAGCUGCUGUCUGGGAUGCGAGUAGUUUAAAGAAGGAAGAUGGUUUGUUGCUGGAGGAGGGGAUCUGCUUACUGCAGGAGGCCCAGAGGCGCCCAGACUGCACCAUCACACUUACAGGGAAGUGCUGCUGUAAAGCCACUGAGCCGUGCACUGAGUUUAAGGACGCGAUCCUCAGCUGUAAUGAACUGUGGAAGAUUACGCUGGGGAGAGAGGAAGAGAGAGAGGACAGAGAGGAAGAGGAAGAGGAAGAGGAGGGUGAAGAGGACA